AUGAUAUAUUUGUUAUUGAAAAUGCACAUUGAUAAGAGCCAUGAAGACUGGGAGCUUGAUCAGCAGCGUUUCCGUGCUUGCAAAGUCAACCUGAACCCCCAGGAGCCUGUCUUCUGUGACCAUCACACCAGCAGGGCGGAGUGCUGCUACAGACAGCUGCACUUCCUUAGAACAGAAGUCCUCUUCCUCCUCCUCCCUCCAUGCCCAGCAGGGAGUGAAAACACGGACUGAAGCUGUCCCCUCUCCGACCCCUGCUCUUCAUCAGCGUUCUCAACUCCACAGGGGCUCCCAGGAAAGCUCCCAGCCCACUUUGGAAUAUAGUCUUCCUUCAGGUCACAACAUUCGCUGAUAUUUUAUAAAUAAAACUUUCUUUUACUGGUACUUGGUAAACUGAAUGAACAAGUUGUUGUUUAGUUGCUAAGUUGUGACUGACUCUUUUGUGGUCCCCUGGACUGUAGCCAGCCAGGCUCCUCUGUCCAUGGGAUUCUCUAGGCAAGAAUACUGGAGUGCACUUCCAUUUUCUUUUCCAGGGGAAUUUCCUGACCCAGGGAUCAAACCUGUGUCUCCUGCAUUGCCAGGUGGAUUCUUUACAACUGAGCCACCAAGGAAGCCCAAAUGAACAAGUACUACUCAUAAAAUAAAGAGGGAACUUGUAACUGCCA
Molecule: long non-coding RNA, 662 nt
Filed under: Cervus hanglu yarkandensis (Yarkand deer)
Lineage: Eukaryota; Metazoa; Chordata; Mammalia; Artiodactyla; Cervidae
Description: lncRNA (ENSCHYG00000013458.1)
Source: RNAcentral